The sequence is a ribosomal RNA, 437 nucleotides long. It matches the Rfam family "Bacterial small subunit ribosomal RNA", at positions 341 to 792 of the family's 1533-position model.
ACGGAAGGCAGCAGUGGGGAAUAUUAGGCAAUGGGGGAAACCCUGACCUAGCAACGCCGCGUGAAGGAAGAAGGCUCUCGGGUUGUAAACUUCUUUUACCAGGGACGAAGAACGUGACGGUACCUGGAGAAAAAGCCACGGCUAACUACGUGCCAGCAGCCGCGGUAAUACGUAGGUGGCAAGCGUUGUCCGGAUUUACUGGGUGUAAAGGGCGUGUAGGCGGAAAAGCAAGUCAGGAGUGAAAUCCCCGGGCUUAACCCGGGAACUGCUUUUGAAACUGUUUUCCUUGAGUAUCGGAGAGGCAGGCGGAAUUCCUAGUGUAGCGGUGAAAUGCGUAGAUAUUAGGAGGAACACCAGUGGCGAAGGCGGCUUGCUGGACGACAACUGACGCUGAGGCGCGAAAGCGUGGGGAGCAAACAGGAUUAGAUACACUGGUA